GGGGAUGUAACUCAAAUGCUAGAGUGCUCGCUUUGCAUGCGAGAGGCACGAGGUUCGAUCCCCCGCAUCUCCA
This is a non-coding RNA of Gossypium hirsutum (cotton), 73 nucleotides long. NCBI's taxonomy places the organism in Eukaryota, Viridiplantae, Streptophyta, Magnoliopsida, Malvales, Malvaceae. The record is from Rfam.